Molecule: long non-coding RNA, 498 nt
Organism: Esox lucius (northern pike)
Lineage: Eukaryota; Metazoa; Chordata; Actinopteri; Esociformes; Esocidae
Exons: 3
Source: RefSeq, a predicted model, not a curated record
UCCUCUAAUUUCAUCUUUUCAUUCCUGUUUACUCACCCACACUCCCCUCAUUAAUGAGAGAUUUUCCAGUCUAUGCUAAUUGGUUUCAAUAACAUUCAUUUUAGUUGAAAGGGAACGAUUCUGUUAAUUGAGGAGCGGAGGGGGGGGGAGAAAAAAAGGCUUCUUUUCAUUUUCGAGUGCGUCCGCGAGACGACGCUUUUGAAAAAGCGCUCAACAGGUUCGCGGCUAAUGAAAUUAAGUGACGCCGGCCGUAGCAAAAAGGAAAGCCCCAAAUUAAAAUGAGGGAAGGAUGCGUCGUCAAAUGGCCUGCCUGAAUGACGCGAAGUAGGAUGAGGGUGCUAAACUCGUCAUCCCCAUCCAUGGGCUAGCUGUGAAGGCAUCUAGAGACCCCUUGGAAAUGGAGGAUGAGGAAUAGAAUGCCAGACGCUGAAGCAGAGUGGAAGGACAGAACAUUGAAAAGAAAAGGGAAGGCACUAGAGUAGAAUAUUAUACCUUUAG